UACGUAGGGUGCAAGCGUUGUCCGGAAUUAUUGGGCGUAAAGAGCUUGUAGGCGGUUUGUCGCGUCUGCUGUGAAAUUUCGGGGCUCAACCCCGAACUUGCAGUGGGUACGGGCAGACUAGAGUGUGGUAGGGGAGACUGGAAUUCCUGGUGUAGCGGUGAAAUGCGCAGAUAUCAGGAGGAACACCGAUGGCGAAGGCAGCUCUUUGGGACGGUACUGACGCUGAGACGCGAAAGCGUGGGGAGCGAACAGG
Molecule: ribosomal RNA, 253 nt
Filed under: uncultured bacterium
Lineage: Bacteria
Description: partial 16S ribosomal RNA
Rfam family: Bacterial small subunit ribosomal RNA
Source: RNAcentral